UCAUGCUAGGCGGGGAGCCAGCGGUGCCCUGUACUCGCAAUCCGCUCUAGCGAGGCUGAAUUCCCUCUUGAGGGCUGUGGUCCGAAUGACGCGAGGCGCUCAAACGAUGUUGAUGUUCGGGUCCCGUGCGACGAAGGCGUCUGAAUCUCGCCAGGUCCGGAAGGAAGCAACGAUAAGGAAUGUCCUUCGGGCGCCGCGGGAGCGCCUGGGCUGAGUCGCGUGGUCGUUUCGCCCAUACGGUAUCCAGUUCGAGAGGGGGUGCAUGG
This 266-nucleotide signal recognition particle RNA is filed under the name Chloroflexota bacterium. Its description in RNAcentral is "Chloroflexi bacterium signal recognition particle sRNA large type". It matches the Rfam family "Bacterial large signal recognition particle RNA". From Rfam's summary of the family: The signal recognition particle (SRP) is a universally conserved ribonucleoprotein involved in the co-translational targeting of proteins to membranes. Archaeal SRP consists of a 7S RNA and homologues of the eukaryotic SRP19 and SRP54 proteins. The record is from RNAcentral. Lineage: Bacteria; Bacillati; Chloroflexota.